RNAcentral lists this long non-coding RNA (207 nucleotides) under Capsicum annuum. Its description in RNAcentral is "long non-coding RNA (CANN_LNC007278)". The record is from RNAcentral. Lineage: Eukaryota; Viridiplantae; Streptophyta; Magnoliopsida; Solanales; Solanaceae.
UUCCUCGCCUUCUUGUUCAUCUACUUCCGCUUCUUCUUCUGCUUCUGUAGCUGCUACUUUUCCACCUUCUUCUUGGCUCUUAUCAUCUUCCAUUUCUUCUUCUUCAUCCUUUUUUUCUUUACUCUUCUGCCACAACAGAGGCCAACUCAUCCAUUUUGCUCCUUUUUUCUCUUUCUUCAUUCCUCUCCGAUUUAUUAAGGUUCACAU